AGCAGCCGCGGUAAUUCCAGCUCCAAUAGCGUAUAUUAAAGUUGUUGCAGUUAAAAAGCUCGUAGUUGAAUUUCGGGGUUAGUAGGUUGGUCAUGCCUCUGGUAUGUACUGGUCUCACUGAUUCCUCCUUCCUGAUGAACCUUAAUGCCAUUUAUUUGGUGUUUUGGGGAAUUUGGACUGUUACUUUGAAAAAAUUAGAGUGUUUAAAGCAAGCUAACGCUUGAAUACAUUAGCAUGGAAUAAUGAAAUAGGACGUUCGAUCCUAUUUUGUUGGUUUCUAGGAUUGACGUAAUGAUUAAUAGGGAUAGUUGGGGCAUUAGUAUUCAAUUGUCAGAGGUGAAAUUCUUGGAUUUAUUGAAGACUAACUACUGCGAAAGCAUUUGCCAAGGAUGUUUUCAUUAAUCAAGAACGAAAGUUAGGGGAUCGAAGACGAUCAGAUACCGUCGUAGU
Molecule: ribosomal RNA, 450 nt
Filed under: uncultured Glomeromycotina
Lineage: Eukaryota; Fungi; Glomeromycota
Description: SSU rRNA
Rfam family: Eukaryotic small subunit ribosomal RNA
Source: RNAcentral